ACCGAUAGUGAACCAGUACCGUGAGGGAAAGGCGAAAAGAACCCCGGAAGGGGAGUGAAAUAGAUCCUGAAAUCGUAUGCAUACAAACAGUGGGAGCGGACUUGUUCCGUGACUGCGUACCUUUUGUAUAAUGGGUCAGCGACUUACGUUCAGUAGCGAGCUUAACCGAAUAGGGGAGGCGUAGGGAAACCGAGUCUGAUAAGGGCGAUAGUUGCUGGGCGUAGACCCGAAACCAAGUGAUCUAUCCAUGGCCAGGAUGAAGGUGGGGUAACACUCACUGGAGGUCCGAACCCACUAACGUUGAAAAGUUAGGGGAUGAGCUGUGGAUAGGGGUGAAAGGCUAAACAAACUUGGAAAUAGCUGGUUCUCUCCGAAAACUAUUUAGGUAGUGCCUCACGUAUCACUCUCGGGGGUAGAGCACUGUUAUGGCUAGGGGUCUAUUGCUGAUUACCAAACCAUUGCAAACUCCGAAUACCGAGAAGUGCGAGCGUGGGAGACAGUCAUCGGGUGCUAACGUCCGGUGACAAAAGGGAAACAACCCAGACCGCCGAUUAAGGUCCCAAAGACAUAGUUAAGUGGAAAACGAAGUGGGAAGGCUAAAACAGUCAGGAUGUUGGCUUAGAAGCAGCCAUCAUUUAAAGAAAGCGUAAUAGCUCACUGAUCGAGUCGUCCUGCGCGGAAGAUGUAACGGGGCUCAAACUAUGCACCGAAAUCGCGGAUAUGUACUUGUACAUAUGGUAGGAGAGCGUUCUGUAGGCCUGCGAAGGUGUGGUGUGAACCAUGCUGGAGGUAUCAGAAGUGCGAAUGCUGACAUGAGUAGCGAUAAAGGGAGUGAAAGGCUCCCUCGCCGAAAACCCAAGGUUUCCUGUUCAACGUUAAUCGGAGCAGGGUGAGUCGGCCCCUAAGGCGAGGCUGAGAAGCGUAGUCGAUGGGAAACAGGUUAAUAUUCCUGUACCUCAAUGUAAUGCGAUGUGGGGACGGAGAAGGUUAAGCAAGCCAUCUGUUGGAAUAGGUGGUUUAAGCGUGUAGGGAGAUCUCUUAGGCAAAUCCGGGAGGUCAAUUCUGAGGCGUGAUGACGAGUGCACUUCGGUGCGAAGUUGCUGAUACCAAGCUUCCAAGAAAAGCCACUAAGCUUCAGUUACAUUGAGACCGUACCGCAAACCGACACAGGUGGGUAGGAUGAGAAUUCUAAGGCGCUUGAGAGAACUCGGGUGAAGGAACUCGGCAAAUUAGCACCGUAACUUCGGGAAAAGGUGCGCCCCGAUAGAGUGUAGCGACUUGCUCGUGAAGCUCGAUGGGGUUGCAGUGAAAUGGUGGCUGCGACUGUUUAAUAAAAACACAGCACUCUGCAAACACGAAAGUGGACGUAUAGAGUGUGACGCCUGCCCGGUGCUGGAAGAUUAAAUGAUGGGGUGCAAGCUCUUGAUUGAAGUCCCAGUAAACGGCGGCCGUAACUAUAACGGUCCUAAGGUAGCGAAAUUCCUUGUCGGGUAAGUUCCGACCUGCACGAAUGGCGUAACGAUGGCCACACUGUCUCCACCCGGGACUCAGCGAAGUUGAAAUGUUUGUGAAGAUGCAAUCUACCCGAGGCUAGAC
RNAcentral lists this ribosomal RNA (1596 nucleotides) under metagenome. Its description in RNAcentral is "bacterial LSU rRNA". It matches the Rfam family "Bacterial large subunit ribosomal RNA", at positions 483 to 2081 of the family's 2925-position model. The record is from RNAcentral.